Molecule: ribosomal RNA, 468 nt
Filed under: uncultured bacterium
Lineage: Bacteria
Description: partial 16S ribosomal RNA
Rfam family: Bacterial small subunit ribosomal RNA
Source: RNAcentral
GACGAACGCUGGCGGCGUGCUUAACACAUGCAAGUCGAACGGAAAGGCCCUAGGUGUGUGGGGUUCGCGAGGGGCGAACGCGUGAGUAACACUAGAGUGACCGGCACUUAACUUUGGGAUAACUUCAAGAAACGGGGGCGAAUACCAAAUCGGCACACCUGCUGCAUGGUCGGGGUUGGAAAGUUUCGGCGGGUGGGGGUGGACUCGCGGCUUAUCAGCUUGUGUGUAGUGUAGUGUCUUACGAAGGCUUUGACGGGUAGCCGGCCUGGGAGCGUGACCGGCCACAUUGGGACUGCGAUACGGCGCAGACUCCUACGGGACGCAGUAGUGGGGAAUAUUGCACAAUGGGCGGAAGCCUGAUGCAGCAACGCCGCGUGCGGGAUGACGUCCUUCGGGUUGUAAACCGCUUUCGCCUGUGCCGAAGCGCGAGUGACGGUAAUGGGUAAAGAAGCACCGGCUAACUACGUG